This 408-nucleotide ribosomal RNA is filed under the name uncultured bacterium. RNAcentral's name for it is "partial 16S ribosomal RNA". It matches the Rfam family "Bacterial small subunit ribosomal RNA", at positions 28 to 526 of the family's 1533-position model. The record is from RNAcentral.
GACGAACGCUGGCGGCGUGCUUAACACAUGCAAGUCGACAUUAGUGGCGAACGGGUCAGUAAUACGUGGGUAACCUGACCUCCUUUUUGGGAUAAGCCUUGGAAACGGGGUCUAAUACCGAAUAAAGCGGGAUGGGCUCGCGGCCUAUCAGCGUGUUAGUGGGGUGAUUGCUUACCAAGGCGGUUACGGGUAGCCGGCCUGAGAGGGUGCACGGCGACAUAGGUGCUGAGGUACGGCACAGACUCCUACGCGUGGCAGAAGUGGGGGAUAUUGCACAAUGGGCGAAAGCGUGAUGCAGCGACACCGAGUGGGGGAUGAAGGCUUUCGGGUUGUAAACCUCUUUCACUAUAGAACGGGUAGGUGGAGAAGAAGCGCCGGCUAACUACGUGCCAGCAGCCGCGGUAAUAC